CGUGUCCACAGAGGAAGAGGAGAAGAAGAAGAAGAAGAGUCUCCAUCUUCGCUCCGUCACUCCAAUCAUGAAUUUAGAAGACGACGUCUGAAACUGUGUUUGAUGUAAAAAACUCUGUGGAGACCAGAACCAGAACCUGUUUGACGUCCAAUCAGCUCUGACCAGAUGGAGGCGACCGCUGCGGAAAAACGCCAUCGAACGCGAUCCAAAGGAGUGCGAGCUGCUGUGGAAGCUGUAACACAAGAGUUAUUCAGCUGUCCCACCCCAGGCUGUGAUGGCAGCGGUCACGUCAGUGGUAAAUACGCCAGACACCGCA
Long non-coding RNA from Solea senegalensis (Senegalese sole), 316 nucleotides. RefSeq lists it as uncharacterized. Lineage: Eukaryota; Metazoa; Chordata; Actinopteri; Pleuronectiformes; Soleidae. The record is from RefSeq and is a predicted model, not a curated record. The transcript is spliced from 5 exons.